GACGAACGCUGGCGGCGUGCUUAACACAUGCAAGUCGAACGGAAAGGCCUGCUUUCCCUUGUGGAUUGCGGGUACUCGAGUGGCGAACGGGUGAGUAACACGUGAGUGAUCUGCCCCCAACUUGGGUAUAAGCCUGGGAAACUGGGUCUAAUUCCCGAUAGGACUGCAGGGUGGUGCCUGUGGUGGAAAACGAUUUUCUAGUGGUUGGGGAUGAGCUCGCGGCCUAUCAGCUUGUUGGUGGGGUAAUGGCCUACCAAGGCGGCGACGGGUAGCCGGACUGAGAGGGUGGACGGCCACAUUGAGACUGGGAUACGGCCCAGACGCCUACGGGAGGCAGCAGUGGGGAAUAUUGGGGAAUGGGCGGAAGCCUGAUGCAGCGACGCCGCGUGGGGGAUGACGGCCUUCGGGUUGUAAACUCCUUUCGACCGCGAGGAAGCCACGUGGUUGGAAGGGUGGUGACGGUAGUGGUAGAAGAAGCACCGGCUAACUACGUG
This 494-nucleotide ribosomal RNA is filed under the name uncultured bacterium. RNAcentral describes it as "partial 16S ribosomal RNA". It matches the Rfam family "Bacterial small subunit ribosomal RNA", at positions 28 to 507 of the family's 1533-position model. The record is from RNAcentral.